Molecule: long non-coding RNA, 478 nt
Organism: Phasianus colchicus (ring-necked pheasant)
Lineage: Eukaryota; Metazoa; Chordata; Aves; Galliformes; Phasianidae
Source: RefSeq, a predicted model, not a curated record
CCUUCUUGACCAACCUCAUCUCCUAUGACUGGGUGACCCACCUGGUGGAUGAGGGAAAAGCUGCUGAUAAAAUCUACCAAGACUAUCCCAAGACUACCUAGGUAUCUAGACUUGUCCUCUACAACUAUGUGAAAGGAGGUUGUGGUGAGAUUUUUUACGUCUGUAAGGACAAUGAGAGAAGCAGGCCCAGAGAAAACUCUACUUGAGGAGACAAAGCCAUUCUGCAGCUGCCCACUGAAGGCUUGGAGGCAAAGAGACAACUUCCUCAGAUGUUUGCUACUUAACUCUUGUUAUGUAAACAUCUACAUAGCUGUUAUUUCAAGCAUCCAUUUUUAGAAGAACGUUAAAGUGCAGAGAUUCAGAGACAAACAUUCAAAAGCUGCACAGUGAAUCAAUACCAAAGACAAAAUAAAAUCCAUUCUAUCUCCUGUUUUAACUUAACAGUUAAUGGGAAAUAAAAUGUCAGCCACUAAAAGGU